UCCACCGUCCAGACAAACACACUUCUUCUUCUUCUUCUUUUCUUUUUAUUCUUCCCUCCACCUUCCAUCUACCAUAACUCAAAAUCUAACCAUUUGUUUCUCAAAUUGAAGCUACCUAGGCCUUCCGGACUUCAAGAGGAGCAUUUCUACCGAUUGAAUCUUCGUUUCCUCCAACGGGUGAUUCUCACAUUUUGGGGUUUCAAGCAAGUGGUUUAGGGUUCUUCCUUGAGUUGGCCGUCCACACUAGAGUAGGUGAUGAGGUACCCUUGGAGCAGGC
Vigna radiata var. radiata (mung bean) is the source of this 277-nucleotide long non-coding RNA. RefSeq lists it as uncharacterized. The transcript is spliced from 3 exons. Lineage: Eukaryota; Viridiplantae; Streptophyta; Magnoliopsida; Fabales; Fabaceae. The record is from RefSeq and is a predicted model, not a curated record.